This 450-nucleotide ribosomal RNA is filed under the name uncultured bacterium. RNAcentral describes it as "bacterial SSU rRNA". It matches the Rfam family "Bacterial small subunit ribosomal RNA", at positions 354 to 796 of the family's 1533-position model. The record is from RNAcentral.
GUGGGGAAUAUUGGACAAUGGGCGAAAGCCUGAUCCAGCCAUGCCGCGUGUGUGAAGAAGGUCUUCGGAUUGUAAAGCACUUUAAGUUGGGAGGAAGGGCAGUAAGUUAAUACCUUGCUGUUUUGACGUUACCGACAGAAUAAGCACCGGCUAACUUCGUGCCAGCAGCCGCGGUAAUACGAAGGGUGCAAGCGUUAAUCGGAAUUACUGGGCGUAACGCGCGCGUAGGUGGUUUUGUAAGUUGGAGGUGAAAUCCCCGGGCUCAACCUGGGAACUGCCUCCAAAACUGCAUGAUUAGAGUACGGUAGGGGGUAGUGGAAUUUCCUGUGUAGCGGUGAAAUGCGUAGAUAUAGGAAGGAACACCAGUGGCGAAGGCGACUACCUGGACUGAUACUGACACUGAGGUGCGAAAGCGUGGGGAGCAAACAGGAUUAGAAACCCCUGUAGUCC